This 253-nucleotide ribosomal RNA is filed under the name uncultured bacterium. Its description in RNAcentral is "partial 16S ribosomal RNA". It matches the Rfam family "Bacterial small subunit ribosomal RNA", at positions 524 to 776 of the family's 1533-position model. The record is from RNAcentral.
UACAGAGGUCUCAAGCGUUGUCCGGAAUCAUUGGGCGUAAAGCGCGUGUAGGCGGCCCGGUAAGUCCGCUGUGAAAGUCCAGGGCUCAACCCUGGGAUGCCGGUGGAUACUGUCGGGCUCGAGUCCGGAAGAGGCGAGUGGAAUUCCUGGUGUAGCGGUGAAAUGCGCAGAUAUCAGGAGGAACACCAAUGGCGAAGGCAGCUCGCUGGGACGUGACUGACGCUGAGACGCGAAAGCGUGGGGAGCAAACAGG